UACGGGGGGUGCAAGCGUUGUUCGGAUUUACUGGGCGUAAAGGGCGCGUAGGCGGUCAGCACAAGUCAGUUGUGAAAUCUCCGGGCUUAACUCGGAAAGGUCAACUGAUACUGUGCGACUAGAGUGCGGAAGGGGCAACUGGAAUUCCUGGUGUAGCGGUGGAAUGCGCAGAUAUCAGGAGGAACACCGGUGGCGAAGGCGGUUCUCUGGGCAUGUCCUGACGCUGAGGAGCGAAAGUGUGGGGAGCGAACAGG
Molecule: ribosomal RNA, 254 nt
Filed under: uncultured bacterium
Lineage: Bacteria
Description: partial 16S ribosomal RNA
Rfam family: Bacterial small subunit ribosomal RNA
Source: RNAcentral